RNAcentral lists this ribosomal RNA (926 nucleotides) under uncultured Streptococcus sp. RNAcentral describes it as "bacterial SSU rRNA". It matches the Rfam family "Bacterial small subunit ribosomal RNA", at positions 1 to 915 of the family's 1533-position model. Lineage: Bacteria; Bacillati; Bacillota; Bacilli; Lactobacillales; Streptococcaceae. The record is from RNAcentral.
UAGAGUUUGAUCAUGGCUCAGGACGAACGCUGGCGGCGUGCCUAAUACAUGCAAGUAGAACGCUGAAGAGAGGAGCUUGCUCUUCUUGGAUGAGUUGCGAACGGGUGAGUAACGCGUAGGUAACCUGCCUUGUAGCGGGGGAUAACUAUUGGAAACGAUAGCUAAUACCGCAUAACAAUGGAUGACACAUGUCAUUUAUUUGAAAGGGGCAAUUGCUCCACUACAAGAUGGACCUGCGUUGUAUUAGCUAGUAGGUGAGGUAAUGGCUCACCUAGGCGACGAUACAUAGCCGACCUGAGAGGGUGAUCGGCCACACUGGGACUGAGACACGGCCCAGACUCCUACGGGAGGCAGCAGUAGGGAAUCUUCGGCAAUGGGGGCAACCCUGACCGAGCAACGCCGCGUGAGUGAAGAAGGUUUUCGGAUCGUAAAGCUCUGUUGUAAGUCAAGAACGGGUGUGAGAGUGGAAAGUUCACACUGUGACGGUAGCUUACCAGAAAGGGACGGCUAACUACGUGCCAGCAGCCGCGGUAAUACGUAGGUCCCGAGCGUUGUCCGGAUUUAUUGGGCGUAAAGCGAGCGCAGGCGGUUUGAUAAGUCUGAAGUUAGAGGCUGUGGCUCAACCAUAGUUCGCUUUGGAAACUGUCAAACUUGAGUGCAGAAGGGGAGAGUGGAAUUCCAUGUGUAGCGGUGAAAUGCGUAGAUAUAUGGAGGAACACCGGUGGCGAAAGCGGCUCUCUGGUCUGUAACUGACGCUGAGGCUCGAAAGCGUGGGGAGCGAACAGGAUUAGAUACCCUGGUAGUCCACGCCGUAAACGAUGAGUGCUAGGUGUUGGAUCCUUUCCGGGAUUCAGUGCCGCAGCUAACGCAUUAAGCACUCCGCCUGGGGAGUACGACCGCAAGGUUGAAACUCAAAGGAAUUGACG